GCUUGUCUCAAAGAUUAAGCCAUGCAUGUCUAAGUAUAAACUGCUUAUACUGUGAAACUGCGAAUGGCUCAUUAAAUCAGUUAUAGUUUAUUUGAUGGUACCUUCUACUCGGAUAACCGUAGUAAUUCUAGAGCUAAUACGUGCGUAAAACCCGACUUCUGGAAGGGUCGUAUAUAUUAGAUAAAAGGCCGACCGAGCUUUGCUCGACCCGCGGUGAAUCAUGAUAUCUUCACGAAUCGCACGGCCUUGUGCCGGCGAUGUUUCAUUCAAAUUUCUGCCCUAUCAACUUUCGAUGGUAGUCGCCGUGCCUACCAUGGUGACCACGGGUGACGGGGAAUCAGGGUUCGAUUCCGGAGAGGGAGCCUGAGAAACGGCUACCACAUCCAAGGAAGGCAGCAGG
Molecule: ribosomal RNA, 400 nt
Filed under: Pseudopediastrum boryanum
Lineage: Eukaryota; Viridiplantae; Chlorophyta; Chlorophyceae; Sphaeropleales; Hydrodictyaceae
Description: partial small subunit ribosomal RNA
Rfam family: Eukaryotic small subunit ribosomal RNA
Source: RNAcentral